RNAcentral lists this ribosomal RNA (654 nucleotides) under uncultured archaeon. RNAcentral describes it as "bacterial SSU rRNA". It matches the Rfam family "Archaeal small subunit ribosomal RNA", at positions 508 to 1160 of the family's 1478-position model. The record is from RNAcentral.
GCCUAAAGCGUCCGUAGCCGGCUAUGUUAGUUUUCGGUUAAAUCCAUGUGCUUAACACAUGGGCUGUCGAAAAUACUGCAUAGCUAGGGAGUGGGAGAGGUAGACGGUACUCUGUAGGAAGGGGUAAAAUCCUUUGAUCUAUAGAUGACCACCAGUGGCGAAGGCGGUCUACCAGAACACGUCCGACGGUGAGGGAUGAAAGCUGGGGGAGCAAACCGGAUUAGAUACCCGGGUAGUCCCAGCUGUAAACGAUGCAGACUCGGUGAUGCAUUGGCUUGUGGCCAGUGCAGUGCCGCAGGGAAGCCGUUAAGUUUGCCGCCUGGGAAGUACGUACGCAAGUAUGAAACUUAAAGGAAUUGGCGGGGGAGCACCACAAGGGGUGAAGCCUGCGGUUCAAUUGGAGUCAACGCCAGAAAUCUUACCCGGAGAGACAGCAGAAUGAAGGUCAAGCUGAAGACUUUACCAGACAAGCUGAGAGGUGGUGCAUGGCCGUCGCCAGCUCGUGCCGUGAGAUGUCCUGUUAAGUCAGGUAACGAGCGAGACCCUUGCCUCUAGUUGCCACCAUUGCUCUCUGGAGCAGUGGGGCGGAUUAGCGGGACCGCCGCAGUUAAUGCGGAGGAAGGAAAGGGCUACGGCAGGUCAGUAUGCCCCGAA